UGAGGAAUAUUGGGCAAUGCCCGCAAGGGUGACCCAGCAACGCCGCGUGGAGGCUGAAUGUCGUAAGAUUGUAAACUCCUGUUAGAGGGGAAGAAUAGUACCGGUUGGAUCGGUAUAUGACUGUACCCUCAGAGAAAGCCCCGGCUAACUACGUGCCAGCAGCCGCGGUAAUACGUAGGGGGCAAGCGUUGUCCGGAUUUACUGGGUGUAAAGGGCGCGCAGGCGGGAUAAAAAGUCAGUGGUGAAAUCCUACAGCUUAACUGUAGAACUGCCUUUGAUACUUUUAUUCGUGAGUUCGGGAGAGAGAGACGGAAUUCCAGGUGUAGUGGUGAAAUACGUAGAUAUCUGGAAGAACACCAGUUGCGAAGGCGGUCUCUUGGUCCGACACUGACGCUGAGGCGC
RNAcentral lists this ribosomal RNA (402 nucleotides) under uncultured bacterium. RNAcentral's name for it is "bacterial SSU rRNA". It matches the Rfam family "Bacterial small subunit ribosomal RNA", at positions 355 to 754 of the family's 1533-position model. The record is from RNAcentral.